Long non-coding RNA from Zingiber officinale, 746 nucleotides. RefSeq lists it as uncharacterized. The record is from RefSeq and is a predicted model, not a curated record. Lineage: Eukaryota; Viridiplantae; Streptophyta; Magnoliopsida; Zingiberales; Zingiberaceae. The transcript has 3 exons.
UUUUCCCGUGUCCUCACCCAAAUCUCGCCGAGUCUUCUUCUUCCCCGCGCCUUCUCCCCCUCACGGCGAAUUUGCCCUAACCGCAACCGCAAGGAGGCGGUUUCCUCACUUCCUUGCCGUGCCCUAGCCGUGCGCCGCCGACGCCUCCUUCUCACUGCCGCGCCUCCGACAGUCGUUCGUCCCCGCCGUACACCGCGAUCUCGACGCCACAGUGCGCCCCUCAACGCCGACGUCUCCUCGCUGGCACUCAGGCACAGCCGAGCAGAGGUCUUCCUCUACCCGACUCCGACAUCUCUCCUUUUCCUCCCGAGCCGAACACCGAUGCCACUGCCUUAGCCAUCUCGCGCCGCCACCACAGCCGGUCACCGCGACUCCUCUUGUGGGCUCGUGACACAGCCGACUCCCUGCUGCCGGUGCCCUAUUUUGGGUUCACAGUCAGCCGAGCUCUCCUCACAGCAGUGCCGCAGACCUCCAUCUCGUGUGCCCUAGGUUUGGAUUGUGCCGCCGCUGAGUUUGCUUCGCCGACGCUGUGCCCUAACAUUUUCGCCGGCCACAGUGAAGUAAUCAGCAAGGAGUUUGGGUUUGUGGAUGAUUUUGGGUUCCGGCAGCUAUCCCAUUUAGCAGCCUACUUAAUUGUCAACAGCAACACACUGCGACCGGGAAUCAAGAAACUACAGGCUGUGAAUUGAGGACUUUGACGCGAGACGAGUAUCUCGGAGUCAGAUUGGACCUUUCUAUUUCGGAGG